CCAAUUUUUUGAUAUCAUGCAUGGGAUCUUCAUUUUAUUAUCUUUUCUUUUUAUCAUUAUCUGUGAUUCAAAUCCUUAAACAAAAGCCCAUAGGAGCUGACAUCUCAGUCAGGUUUGUCUUCAUGCCACCCUCCCUCUAUAAAGCAGCCAACCAACCACACUCCAGUAAAAACGCCACUGCACAAAACAGAAACACACACACUCUCUCUCUCAAAUGGAAAAACCCAUGGCCGAGCCUUGGAGACCUGACAUGGCCCUUUUCCGGCCACCGGAAACGCCCCGCGAGCCCAUGGAGUUCCUCUCGCGUUCAUGGAGUGUCUCAGCCUC
RNAcentral lists this unclassified non-coding RNA (327 nucleotides) under Hevea brasiliensis (rubber tree). The record is from RNAcentral. Lineage: Eukaryota; Viridiplantae; Streptophyta; Magnoliopsida; Malpighiales; Euphorbiaceae.